CCAUGAUCUUAUCAGGAAAAACAAGGAUGAAAGAGAUGGUCUGAAAGAAGUUUUUAACAAUGCUCAGGCUGACAUUCUGUCCUAUGAAAUAUUUUGUGGAAAUGAACUUAUGGAUGACACAAGGACACACCUCCCAAUGAAGCUUUUCAGAAACAUUGGAAAAGCAAAAUCUGAUUUAGAAUAUGUUGAAACAGAAAAAAUUGUGUUUGAUUGUAUCCAGACAGGAGAAAUCCCCAAAUGGAUUAAAAGGGAUUGUCUGUAUGUACCCUGGUCAGACCCUGCAAUAUGCUCUGAGGAGAUAGAGUCACCAUUCCAAGAAACUCAUGCAGAAGUUUAAAAUGGAAAUCAAGUUUUUAGGUUUAUCAGAUAAUGAAGAAACACUAAGAGAGAUUCCAACUCUGAAAGAAACUCCCUGUUUUAGAGAGGAGCACUGGAGAGAAAGCUUGAGCACAAAAGGACUGUCUGCAGUAUUUUUUGAGUGGACAAAAAUUUAGAAGCAUUCAAUACAUGUGGUUCACUAAAUAUCAGAAAACUUAUGCAGGCAUAUAAGUGAUUUGAAAAUUUUAUGCUCUUUAAUAAAUAUUUUUUAAUAAAUCUUCUUCA
RNAcentral lists this long non-coding RNA (603 nucleotides) under Parus major (Great Tit). Its description in RNAcentral is "lncRNA (ENSPMJG00000009009.1)". Lineage: Eukaryota; Metazoa; Chordata; Aves; Passeriformes; Paridae. The record is from RNAcentral.